GAUGAACGCUGGCGGCGUGCUUAACACAUGCAAGUCGAGCGGGCAAUUUAUCUAGCACUGAUUACUUCAAAUGGAAAUCAUAAGUGUAAUCAUGAAUUUCUACCUUUAAUAAAGAAAAAAGAAAUUCAUGUACGCAAAUAGUGAUAACACAUUUUAGUGGAGUGAUGAGUGCUGGAUAAAUUGCUAGCGGCGGACGGGUGCGUAACACGUGGGUAACCUGCCCCUAUCACUGGGAUAACACACUGAAAAGUGUGCUAAUACCAGAUAACAUAAGCUUUUGGCAUCAUUAGCUUAUCAAAGAAUUUCGGAUAGGGAUGGGCCCGCGUCUGAUUAGCUAGUUGGUGAGGUAACGGCUCACCAAGGCAACGAUCAGUAGCCGACCUGAGAGGGUGAUCGGCCACACUGGAACUGAGACACGGUCCAGACUCCUACGGGAGGCAGCAGUGGGGAAU
Molecule: ribosomal RNA, 452 nt
Filed under: uncultured bacterium
Lineage: Bacteria
Description: bacterial SSU rRNA
Rfam family: Bacterial small subunit ribosomal RNA
Source: RNAcentral